AGGACGAACGCUUGCGGCGUGCCUAAGAAAUGCAAGUCGAGCGAGGUUUAGGCUUCGGCCGACGACCUAGCGGCGAACGGUCGCGUAACACGUAAGCAACCUGCCCUAAAGUUGGGGAUAGCCCGCCGAAAGGCGGAUUAAUACCGAAUGUGGAUAUGUAUUCGCAUGUAUAUAUAUCUGAAGCAGCGAUGCGCUUUAGGAUGGGCUUGCGGCCUAUCAGUUAGUUGGUGUGGGUAACGGCCUACCAAGACGACGACGGGUAGCUGGUCUGAGAGGAUGGUCAGCCGGAUUGGGACUGAGACACGGCCCAGACUCCUACGGGGGGGCAGCAAUUAGGAAUCUUGCGCAAUGGGCGAAAGCCUGACGCAGCGACGCCGCGUGACUGAUGAAGUCUUUCGAGAUGUAAAGGUCUUUUGUUGGGGACGAAGGAAGUGACGGUACCCGACGAAUAAGCCCCGGCUAACUACGUG
Molecule: ribosomal RNA, 470 nt
Filed under: uncultured bacterium
Lineage: Bacteria
Description: bacterial SSU rRNA
Rfam family: Bacterial small subunit ribosomal RNA
Source: RNAcentral